GGGGUUGUAGCUCAGUGGCAGAGCAUCUGCUUUGCAUGCAGAAAGUCCCAGGUUCAAUACCUGGCAUCUGCU
Non-coding RNA from Podarcis lilfordi (Lilford's wall lizard), 72 nucleotides. NCBI's taxonomy places the organism in Eukaryota, Metazoa, Chordata, Lepidosauria, Squamata, Lacertidae. The record is from the annotation of a GenBank genome assembly.